This 1516-nucleotide long non-coding RNA is filed under the name Canis lupus familiaris (dog). RNAcentral describes it as "lncRNA (ENSCAFG00040010692.1)". Lineage: Eukaryota; Metazoa; Chordata; Mammalia; Carnivora; Canidae. The record is from RNAcentral.
CUUCAACAUGACACUUAGGCCUUGGUUUUAAACAUGGGGUUACUUGUCUAACAAAAAGAAAUUAUUUUUAAGUUUUUAUCAACAUAAAGUGUUAUAAAGGUAUAAACUGAAGAUAAAAGAAAAAAUAUUUUAUGCAGUCCUUUCAUCAAAAUAUAUCAGUGUCUUUCCUAUUUUUGGGUUUCUGGGCCUGGCCAGUUCACUAAGAGUUGACAUCACGUGGACAUCCAAUUUAUUCCCUGUAAUCUAGUGAAGAAGUAAAACUGGUUAAGAUCUCAUACUCUCCCAUGGUCAGAAGGGAGCUGUUCCAGGUCAGGGAAAGCAGGCCAGCCUCUCAGAGGUUAAAUGAAAAGGUCCAAGCUUCUGCUCUGAUCCACCUGCUUCUCCCUUUGGGCUGAGGUUUGGGGCCAUCAGAACAGUUGCAUUCAUGGCAGCAGCAGGAUGGCCCGGGAGGACAGGAAGUACUGCUCCCUCAAGAGCCACCUGAUUUCUCUCCUCCUGGGGACCAGAGGGUCUUGCUCAGAACCUUCCACUCUCCACAUGACGAAAAAUAUAACCUUUCAGUGUCUCUUGGAGAAAAGCACAGCUGCACCACAGCAGGAAGAGAAGCAGAGGAAAGGAAAACAAUUGUCACCUGUUGAAAUGCAUUUCCAGAUCCAGGAUGGACCCUCUACACUCUGGGGUGGUGAGUAAGCAAACUAAAACUUAGAUACUCUCCUGUCCCUGUAAAUGCUGCCCUUGACCAGAAACUGUCUAUCCCAGCCAGCCAGGCCCCAGACACCAAGGAUCUGUAAUGAUUCCCCUGUUCUACAUAAGACCAGAUAUGCAACCCCAGCCAAUCAGCCUAAUCCAGAUUCUCUCUCCUCAUUCCUGACUGACCUGCCAGCCUUUUGAGGAAAUCCCUGACCUCCCAGGCCAUUCUGCCUGUUCCCCUGGGCUGCUUCUAAGGCUCUAUGAUAUUCCCUGUUGCUCUGAAUCCUUGAAGAAGAGUGCUCCACUGCUUGUGAGGCCCUGAGCUCCCCAAUCUAUGGAUUGUUCUUAUUUUAGUAAAGGACAUCAAAUCUACAGAUUAAAUGGUUUUACUUUUGUCAUUUGAGACACCCAGGAGAGUAUUUGGGAGUUUAGGUGACUUCAAUAUACACUGAAGGCUAGUCAUGGCCAACAGCUGUUUGCAUAAAAACAAUAAUUGCCUAAAAACAAAAAAGGCUGGCAACAUAAAUUAAAUUUAUUUUCAUAAAAAUAUAGAUCAUUGUGGAUUAUCCCUUCAUAUGUAAGAUUUUUCUUAUUGGUAGAAAUCUAGAAAACUAGAAAGUUGUUACCCAAUUUCUCACCACCCACAUAGCUCACCUUCUAUAUUCAGAGUCUUUCCAACUGUCAUUUUCUGUGCAGAUGUCAACCCCACUGGCACUUUCUUUUCCACUUACCACUUUGGCACCGCUACCCUAGACACCUGCUGAGGGCCUGAAUGAUGGCUCUAAAAUAUUCUUUUAGCAGAAUAUUCUAGUCAACACCCCACCAA